Molecule: ribosomal RNA, 496 nt
Filed under: uncultured Streptococcus sp.
Lineage: Bacteria; Bacillati; Bacillota; Bacilli; Lactobacillales; Streptococcaceae
Description: bacterial SSU rRNA
Rfam family: Bacterial small subunit ribosomal RNA
Source: RNAcentral
GACGAACGCUGGCGGCGUGCCUAAUACAUGCAAGUAGAACGCCGAAGGAGGAGCUUGCUCUUCUGGAUGAGUUGCGAACGGGUGAGUAACGCGUAGGUAACCUGCCUGGUAGCGGGGGAUAACUAUUGGAAACGAUAGCUAAUACCGCAUAAUAGUAGAUGUUGCAUGACAUUUGCUUAAAAGGUGCAAUUGCAUCACUACCAGAUGGACCUGCGUUGUAUUAGCUAGUUGGUGGGGUAACGGCUCACCAAGGCGACGAUACAUAGCCGACCUGAGAGGGUGAUCGGCCACACUGGGACUGAGACACGGCCCAGACUCCUACGGGAGGCAGCAGUAGGGAAUCUUCGGCAAUGGACGGAAGUCUGACCGAGCAACGCCGCGUGAGUGAAGAAGGUUUUCGGAUCGUAAAGCUCUGUUGUAAGAGAAGAACGAGUGUGAGAGUGGAAAGUUCACACUGUGACGGUAUCUUACCAGAAAGGGACGGCUAACUACGUGC